RNAcentral lists this long non-coding RNA (248 nucleotides) under Sarcophilus harrisii (Tasmanian devil). RNAcentral's name for it is "lncRNA (ENSSHAG00000026713.1)". The record is from RNAcentral. Lineage: Eukaryota; Metazoa; Chordata; Mammalia; Dasyuromorphia; Dasyuridae.
CCCGGACCAGCCGAGCCCUGACUAAGGCGCAAGAGAACGGGCGGGCGGAGUGGCUGCAGGUGGACUUCGGGAAGCUGAUGAAAGUCACGGGAGUGACAACCCAGGGAGUGAAGUCCAUCCUCACCAGCAUGUUCGUGAGAGAGUUCUUGCUCUCCAGCAGCCGAGAUGGCAAGCGCUGGACCUUCUUUCAUCAGAACCACCAGUCAAAAACCGCCAACCGGAGCAGCCUAUGCCAGGCUCAGGAGGGC